Molecule: long non-coding RNA, 206 nt
Filed under: Elaeis guineensis (African oil palm)
Lineage: Eukaryota; Viridiplantae; Streptophyta; Magnoliopsida; Arecales; Arecaceae
Description: long non-coding RNA (EGUI_LNC009463)
Source: RNAcentral
CUUUGGAUUUGGGAGCAUUUAUAGGUCGGAUGGUCAGAUCAAAUGCUUCCUAGGAUAGGAGCCCACCAGCCGGUAGCCGGAGGUGAUGUAGCAAGACAUGUCCGAUUAGAUAUGAAUGAUGCUAGUUUUGAGGAUCUAUUUGGUAGUGUACAGCAUGACCAGGCUGAUCCACUGGGAUGUAGGUAUUGUUGAAAAAUAGAUAGUUC